RNAcentral lists this ribosomal RNA (749 nucleotides) under uncultured bacterium. RNAcentral describes it as "partial 16S ribosomal RNA". The record is from RNAcentral.
CAAGGACCAGGUCGCCGCCUUCGCCACCGGUGUUCUUCCCAAUAUCUACGCAUUUCACCGCUACACAUGGAAUUCCACUUUCCUCUUCUGCACUCAAGUCUCCCAGUUUCCAAUGACCCUCCACGGUUGAGCCGUGGGCUUUCACAUCAGACUUAAGAAACCACCUGCGCGCGCUUUACGCCCAAUAAUUCCGGAUAACGCUUGCCACCUACGUAUUACCGCGGCUGCUGGCACGUAGUUAGCCGUGGCUUUCUGGUUAGGUACCGUCAAGGUGCCAGCUUAUUCAACUAGCACUUGUUCUUCCCUAACAACAGAGUUUUACGACCCGAAAGCUUUCAUCACUCACGCGGCGUUGCUCCGUCAGACUUUCGUCCAUUGCGGAAGAUUCCCUACUGCUGCCUCCCGUAGGAGUCUGGGCCGUGUCUCAGUCCCAGUGUGGCCGAUCACCCUCUCAGGUCGGCUACGCAUCGUUGCCUUGGUGAGCCGUUACCUCACCAACUAGCUAAUGCGACGCGGGUCCAUCCAUAAGUGACAGCCGAAGCCGCCUUUCAAUUUCGCACCAUGCGGUGCAAAAUGUUAUCCGGUAUUAGCCCCGGUUUCCCGGAGUUAUCCCAGUCUUAUGGGCAGGUUACCCACGUGUUACUCACCCGUCCGCCGCUAACUUCAUAAGAGCAAGCUCUUAAUCGGUUCGCUCGACUUGCAUGUAUUAGGCACGCCGCCAGCGUUCAUCCUGAGCCAGGAUCAAACUC